RNAcentral lists this ribosomal RNA (441 nucleotides) under uncultured bacterium. Its description in RNAcentral is "partial 16S ribosomal RNA". It matches the Rfam family "Bacterial small subunit ribosomal RNA", at positions 338 to 795 of the family's 1533-position model. The record is from RNAcentral.
CCUACGGGUGGCAGCAGUGGGGAAUAUUGGGCAAUGGAGGAAACUCUGACCCAGCAACGCCGCGUGAAGGAUGAAGGUUUUCGGAUUGUAAACCUCUGUCGCGAGGGACGAAGAAUGACGGUACUUCGUAAGAAAGCCCCGGCUAACUACGUGCCAGCAGCAGCGGUAAUACGUAGGGGGCGAGCGUUGUCCGGUAUGACUGGGCGUAAAGGGAGUGUAGGCGGCAAUAUAAGUUAGAUGUGAAAUUCCGAGGCUCAACCGAGGAACUGCAUCUAAACCUAUAUAGCUGGAGUGCAGGAGAGGUAAGUGGAAUUCGUGGUGUAGCGGUGAAAUGCGGAGAUAUCACGAAGAACUCCGAUUGCGAAGGCAGCUCACUGGACUGCAACUGACACUGAGGCUCGAAAGUGUGGGUAUCAAACAGGAUUAGAUACCCUUGUAGUC